ACUGCCAGACAGAUGGGACAGCGAUCUUUAGCCAGAGAACUCUCUGGAACCAUUAAAGAGAUCCUGGGGACUGCCCAGUCUGUGGGGUGCAAUGUUGAUGGCCGCCACCCUCAUGACAUCAUAGAUGAUAUCAACAGUGGUGCAGUGGAAUGUCCCGCUAGUUAAGAACUACAAAGGAAAAGGACUCAGACAUCAUUUGACAAGCAGUGACUUUUCUAUGUGGCCUCCUCCUUGGGGAGCUGGGUUCUUUGUGUCAGGUGGUUAGCGGGACCAAGUGGGGAACCUGUGGAAGCACCAAUCUGGGCGUCUGUGAUCUCAGCAGUAGCGGGUUUCUGCCUCUGUGCCUGCAGCUCUCAUGAAAGAUGUCUCAGCACUUCUGUAGACAGUCCGGGAGCUCUUCAUAAGAAAUAGUUCUUGGCCAGAAGGAAAGCUUGUAGUGCAGCCUAACUACAGGGUGAUGAGUUCUUCAUCAUAGACCAAGUCAUUUGACUGGUUGGGGCCCAGGGCCUGCACUUCAAGACUUCGAUAUCCAUUCCAGCACACAGCUGGGGUUAACUGAUUGGUCAACAGAGAAA
This is a long non-coding RNA of Pipistrellus kuhlii (Kuhl's pipistrelle), 575 nucleotides long. RefSeq lists it as uncharacterized. NCBI's taxonomy places the organism in Eukaryota, Metazoa, Chordata, Mammalia, Chiroptera, Vespertilionidae. The transcript is spliced from 3 exons. The record is from RefSeq and is a predicted model, not a curated record.